AUCUGAAAACUUUGUACCGGUGUCAACGCGAUCAUACAAUAAAACACCACUGCCAAAUUCUUGUUUCCUUGUUGAAGCUAGGAAGCGAAGUUCAUGUGAAUGAAAUUUGAUCGAUGAAUCAGGGAACCCUGUAGGUGGUUUUUUUAGAUCAUCUUCGGUUAAAUAUGUUCCUUGACUCUUUCUUGGUAUACUUCCAAGGUAAGCUGGUGAUAUUGGACUCCAUAUCAAGUAUUGAAGACUUUUGAUACCAAGUUUUUGAGUCAAGUUAGGUAGCCAAUAUUGAAAAUCAAAGAAAACUAUUUGUGGCUUUAACUCCUUCAAAAGAAGUUCAAUUUGUUUAUCUGUUUGAUCCAUGGCUGUAGCAAUAAGAGGGAAUAAAGAAAAUGGCACAUCUGAAGUUGUUUCAGCAUUAUGAGGAAGGCCAUUAACAUGAGGAACUGUGAUAGGGAAAAAUGUAAUAAGAUUUGGAUGAAGAUUGAGAUGUUGCAACUUGUUGAGUGUGUUUUUAGGGAUGAAGAACGAUAUUUUGUGACCUCUUAUUGCUAAUUUGUUUGAGAAGUGGAGAUAUGGGGUGAAAUGUCCCAUAGCAAACCAUGGAAACAUUGAUAUAUGCAUAGGAGGAAGAGCAUCCAUGGCUGCUACUAAAUGCAAUGGACCAAACUAAGGACACAAAUAUAGUAAGGGAAAAGAACAAGAUAGGGAUGUACGCUAAUGUGAGCCAACCAAAACAUACGAUACUAUUGUAGAUCAACCAACCUUUCAAGAAUUUUUUUUUUUUCUGCCCUAAUUUAUGCCAAAAAAUACAAAAAUGCCCCAAUUUUUCAUAUGUCUCUGGUACCACUCCACUUGGAGUUGCGGGGUAUCCUAAAAAGUGACGAAAAUUUAGUCUUUAUUAUACCCCUCUACUUGGAGUUGCGGGGUAUGUUUAGAUUUUUUUUUCAAUUUUUUUAAAUACCCCUCCAUCUUGACUUGCGGGAUAUUUUUGGGGCUUUUUUUUUUUAAUUUUUAAAUAUCCCUCUACUUGGAGUAGAGUGGUAUAAUAAGGACAAAAAAAAAUUUGAAGGAUAGGGAUACGUGUAUGCAUGCAUAAAUAAUAAUAUUAAUAAUUUAAUUUAAAAAAACUAAUUAAAAUUAUACAACAAAUAAAACACCAUAAAAUCUACAAUUAUUAUAAAACAUGUAUUAUUUCAUCUACUAUAAAUACUUCAUUUCAUUUUUCAGUUUAUCACACCAUUUCAACUUAUAUUAAUAAUAUUAAUUUAGGCAUUAAUAAAAAAGUAAUUAUAAUAAUAAUCAUAAUAUAUAUAUAUAUAAAAUAAAAAACUUACGAAAUACAAUAAAUUUGAAAUAAAGACUAGAUUUCUACUGAUGUCUAAUAUUAAUGCAAUCUUUGCGGGAAUGACUAGGCAUCCUACAAACGCCGCAUCUUCUCUCAGUUUCCACAUCGUCCAUCUCGGUCCUAAUGCGAGUAAUUGGUGGACGACCUUUCUUUGCCCUACACAUGGACUUGUUGGGAACCACCUUCAGUCCUUCAUAAUCAGGCCAAUAUGACUGGUGGUGAACCACGUCGAAGUGGAUGUUGUAUACGGCGUAUACACACUCAUUCGUGAAUUUGUUAUCGACAAAAGUCUUGUAGUUGUGACAAAAGCUAGAACAUGCGGCAAUGACAUGUGAGCAUGGUAGGUAUAACGCUCUGAACCGUCCACAGUCACACCAUUUAUUUUGCAGGUCCACCUUGUAUUCUCCUUUGGUAAUCCUUCUUUAUGGUCGAUGGUUUCGCGGAAGACAUCGUCGAAGACGAGGGUGUGGGACAGCAGGGCAUUUAUAAUAAUUGUAAUUGAUUAUUAUUAUUAUUAUUAUUAUUAUUAUUUAUGCAUGCAUACACGUAUCCCUAUCCUUCAAAAAAAAUUUGUCCUUAUUAUACCACUCUACUCCAAGUAUAGGGGUAUUUAAAAAUAAAAAUAAAAAAGCCCAAAAAUACCCCGCAAGUCAAGAUGGAGGGGUAUUUAAAAAAAUUGAAAAAAAAUCUAAAAAUACCCCGCAACUCCAAGUAGAGGGGUAUAAUAAAGAUAAAAUUUUCGUCACUUUUUAGGGUACCCCGUAACUCCAAGUGGAGUGGUACCAGAGACAUCUGAAAAAAUAGGGCAUUUGUGCAAUUUUUCAAAAAAGUGGAGCAUUUUUGUAUUUUUUGGCAUAAACUAGGGCAGAAAAAAAAAUUCUCUUUACACUCCAAUAUAGGUCAUAUUUAUAGGGCAGAAUGAAUAAUCACAUUACAAUACACUUAGUAGUGGGAAUUCCAAGGAUGUGGAAGGGUAAUGGAUAGACAUCCACUAAUAGAUAUAUGGUUUAAUAUCAGUUUUGGCCCCCUAAAUAUCACGAACUUAGGAUUUUGAUCCCCUAACAAAAACAAUUACAACCUAGACCAUUAAGUAUAGUCCAUUUUAGAGUUUUGCCCUCCGGACCAAUAUUGACCCAAUCAACACACGUGGCACUCACUUAAGUGAGUAGAACGCCACGUAUAUAAUUUUUUAAUUAAAAAUAAUUAAAAAAAACCACAUUUUAAAAAUAAAUAAAAAAAAACAUGUAAAUGGACAAGAAUGGCACGUGAGCUUCUUCCCAACAAUUUCUUCAUCUUCUCAUUUUCAACCUUCAAAUCAUCUCUCUCAAAAAUCUAAAAAUUAUCAAUCUUCAACACCCAAACCUUCAACAACAACCAUUAAAACCCAUAAAAAUCUUCAUCAUUAAUAAAAAGCCCGUUUGUUUUGGAUUUUUUUGAAGAAAAAAAAAAUCAAUUUUUUUAACUUUUAUUUUGUUUGAUUUAGAUUUUAAAAAAUAAUUUUUUGCUACAAAAAAUCAUUUUUAGCCUCAAAAUAAAAAUCUAUUUCAAGUAGCUUUUCCAAAAAAAAAAAAAAUUAAAUGCAAGGAACUCAAGUGUAAGUGUUUCAAUUCUUAAAAAAAUAAUUGUUAUGAGGCUCCGUCUAGGGUGCAUGACCCUAAUGGGUCUCUCACCCGUAGGAGACUAUAAAGACCUUGUAUUUAAAAAAAUAAUUGUUAUGAGGCUCCGUCUAGGGUGCAUGAGUUAAUUAAUAGGAAAUUUCAAAAUUGACCUUGUAUUUAAAUGAAAGGUUAAAUAUGUUUUGAUCCUUAUAAAUAUACAAAUUUUUCAUUUUAGUUAACUCAUGUCUAAUCUUCAUUAUAUCUUAAAAUUUUGGCAUUUAAAAAUAUUAUAAUAUGGACCGAAGAUUCUGAUUUCCUAAUUAAAUUUUGAUUUUUUAAGAGGAAGGUUUAUGAAGUGAAAACUUCACAUGGUUUUUUAAGAGCAAAAUUUCUCUUUUAGUGUAAAUAUAAGUAGCCAGUUAGUUACGAACGCAGAAAUGUUUAUAUUGGUUUCACAAUCCAUUAUUUUCCGCCAAAAUUAGGGAGAAACACUUUUAUAAAAAAAAAAAUCAAUUUUUUUAACAUAUAAUAAAUCGAAUUUGAUUUUUUUAAACGUUAAAAUUUUAAGAUAAAACUAAUAAAAAUCUGGACCUAAAAAUCAAUUUAUGAGGUAUUUUUUUGCAGUGUAUAUUAUUUUUAAAGAUGGUGUAUAUUUUGUAAUAUUUUAAACAAGUGUAAAAAAAUCAUUUAAAAAUUUAAGUAUAAUUAAACAAAAUUUUUUCUUCAAAAAAUAAUUAAAUAAAUUUUAAUUUAACAGAUACUAAAACUACGUGCUGAAAUUUUUUGUAUGGACUAAAACAUUUCACCUUUUUUACAAGGAUUAAAAGUAAAAUUAACUAUAUUUAUAGAAACCAAAAACUUAUUUAACCCUAAAAAAUAUGAAGAUUAGACAUGAGUUAACUAAAAUGAAAAGUUUGUAUAUUUAUAAAGAUCAAAACAUAUUUAACCUUUCAUUUAAAUACAAGGUCAAUUUUAAAAUUUUCUAUUAAUUAAAAUAUUAUUAUCACACUUAAAAGUCAUUUUGGUAACCAAAAAAAAAAAAACUGGUCUUUAUGGUCUCCUACGGGUGAGAGACCCAUUAGGGUCAUGCACCCUAGACAGAGCCUUUGUUAUGAUAGUAAACAAACAGAAAUAACUUAAAUUUUUUUUUUUUUAAAUCUAUAAAAAAAAAAAAAAAUCUCUAAAUUUUUUUAACUCAAAAUCUAUUUUUUGAAAAGCCGAAACAAAUGCACCCAAAAACAUUCAAUCCCGAAAAGCAAUAAAAAAACAACACACAACCCUUCCUCUAAUUUUCGCCCAUUUGAAAAGGGAAGGAACAAGGAAUGAUCAACAAGACAGAAGUUCCAAUCACAUAAUCAAGAAGUUACUUAUAAAACAACAACUCAAAACAUAAACAAUGGUCCAAAACAUCUUCACCAUCAUUUUCUUCAAUUUCCACCCACUCUUCUUUCUCAAGCCUCCAACAAUAACGAUCGCAGUCCCGUAUAGGAUUUCGCGAUUUCGGCCGUUAAAGGUGUUGCGAUACAAACUGCGGUUGUCGCGGUGUGAAUUAAUCACAACAUUACACAACUCUUAAAUAAUGAUAGUAACUUAAAUAACUUAUACUUGUUCAAAAAACUUAAAUAACUUAUACUUGUUCAAAAAACUUAAAUAACUUUUAUACUAGUUAAAGAUUUGGAAUUCUAAACUAGAUAAGGAGAUAACUUAUAUAAUUUAUGAUCAAAUAUGUAUCAAAAAUAUGAUUUUCAUCUAUCUCAAUCGGAAAAAAAAAAAUCCGAAUUCUAUGUCUAUUGUCAAGAAUGGCAAUUUUUUGCAGCUGUAAUGGUGUUUCGUCACAGCUGUAAUGGUAUUUUGUCGUGUUGUUCACUCUAUAAUCUAUAAAAACAGUGAAGAACGGCAACAUUCGCUACCUAUACCUUUUUGUCGCGGCCAUUUUCUCGAUAACGGACGGUUUUUUAAAACCUUGCCUCCAACAUACUCUUCCUGAAAACCCUCACAUGUACCCUUUCUCCGAUAUCUCAACCGCCACCAAUAACUUCUCUGCAAACUGUCUCUCCUCCAACUCCUUCCGCUGUUGUCUCCACAACCGCGACAUCGUCGUUUUCCAACGAAAUUCCGCCAUCAAAUUGACCUCUCUGAGCUUCGUGAUCGACUUGCUCUUAUCUGCCGGAGCCACCAUAGCAGUCUUGUGAAACUCCUCGGAGCUUCUGUCUCCGGGAGCUACAUUUAUAUUGUUUAUGAAUUUGUACCCGGUGCUAAUCUUUCUGAUUAACCCUAGCUUCACCGAUCUUAAUACAUGGACGUCGCGGAUGUUAAUCGCUUCCGAUCUUGCUUACGGUCUUGAUUAUGUUCACAAUUUUGCUGGUUCUGGUUCUGGUUUUUGUUCAUAAUCAUAUCAAAAUUAAAUGAGUUUUGUGAAAAAAAUUAAAGGAGUUUUUUGUUUCUUGACGCAUCCUAUGUUGAUGGUUUCUGCGAGAAGCUUGGAGAAUUAGUCAGGUGAUUUCCUAAUUAGUAGAAACUGUAUUCAAAUGUGAUUAGUGAUUAAUUAUUGUAUGGUUCCAAUAAAAAAAUGCUCAGUCCUAUCCAAAAAUUUAAAGUAUGUGUAUUUUGAUCAAUCUGAUUGAAUUCAUAUAAGACAUUGAACUAAUCUUCCUUGUUCAAAGUCCAGUCUUUUUAACAUUAGCUCAUAUAGGUGAAAAUUACUUGUUACAGAGAAUGGUCACAUUAAAAUUCCCUAAUCAUAAAUUUGAAGGUGAAGUUUCUAUGCCAAUUUCAGUAAGUAUAGUAUAGUUGACCUAUACAUAUUUUGACUCCAAACUUUUUCGUAUAGGUUCAUGUUAUUAAGGGUUAGUCUACAACUAUGGGAUCAUUUCUAUGUAUAUGUAUAACUUAGGCUAGGAAAUUCAUUUCUAAUGUCCUACUUGAAUUGUUGUAGACCUUGGCAAUUAAUUUAUCAUUUAGUGUAGUCUCUCGUAUAAUGAAUGGAAGAGGGAGCCUUGGCGCAACGGUAAAGUUGUUGUCAUGUGACUUGAAAGGUCACGGGUUUAAGUCCUGAAAACAGCCAGCCUCAUAUAAAAAGACAUGGUAAAAUUGCCUACAAUACACCAAAAUGGUGGGACCCCUGCCAGACUCUGCGUAUGCGGAGCUUUAGUGCACUAGAUUCAUUUAAAAUUCAAGUGUAUUGCUAACCUGCCUGUUUUAUUAAACUGCUUAUAAUGAGAGUGCAAAGAUUGCAUAAAUCAGUUGUUGAAUUGUAAUAUUAUUUGAUCUACUGAAAUUGAUAGAGCAUUCUUAUUCAUAAACAAACUGAAUUAGCAAUAUUCAUUAUCAUUGUAACUAAAAAUACUAGAGCAAAUCAUAAAGCUUCUGACAGAAACUAUUAACACAGGAAGAUUCUAAAUUGCUGCUCAAUAAAAAGUUUCUCAUUUUGGCAUGAUUUGCUCUUACUUCUUUUCCAACCUCAUUCUCAUCAUCCAUCACAAUUCUCACAGCGUUGCCUACACUUUCUUUUGUAAACAACCCAUCUUCUUCACCUCUCUCAACUUCUAUACCAACCUUCAACGUACUACUCAUCAUUCUUGCAUUCAUGAUAUGAUCCGCACCUGCACGUGGCAACAGAACCAACUGACACGUGUUAACAAGUCCUUCGGUUAUACUAGCAGCUCCACAGUGUGUUAUGAAACAUCCAACAGAUGGAUGUUCUAAAAUCAAUUGUUGUUGAAUCCAACUUCCAUACACAAUCCCUUUUCCUUUAAUCCUUUCAUUGAACCCUUCUGGUAAAGCUUCUUCAAUUGACUCAAAUCCAAUUGGUGGCUUAAGUGCUGCAAGAAAUGGAAAACCUGUUAACUCAAGACCAAGUAACAACUCUUGAAAUUGAUUUGUUUCUAAUGGACCUUCACUUCCAUACGCACAAAAAAUCACAGAACCAUGUUUGAAUUCCUUAAGCCAUGUUAACCAUUUCUCCUCUAAAGUAGCUUUUGGUGGCUCAGGUAACAGAGGACCUGAAAGCAGAACAGGUUUUCCAAAAACAGUUUCAAGAUAAUCAGCAUAUAGACCAUCAAUCUCUCUGCAACCUUUGAAAGAAACUGCAUCUGAAGACUUUGUGCCUGUGUCAACGCGAUCGUACAGUAAAACACCACUGCCAAAUUCUAUUUUCCUGGUUGAAGCUAGGAAGCGAAGUUCAUGUGAAUGAAACUUGAUGGAUGAAUCAGGGAACCCUGCAGGUGGUUUUUUGAGAUCAUCUUUGGUUAAAUAUUUUCCCUGACUUUUUCUUGGUAUAUUUCCAAGGUAAGCUGAUGAUAUGGGAUUCCAUAUCAAGUAUUGAAGACUUUUGAUACCAAGUUUUUGAGUCAAGUUAGGUAGCCAAUAUUGAAAAUCAAAGAAAACUAUUUGUGGCUUUAACUCCUUCAAAAGAAGUUCAAUUUGUUUAUCUGUUUGAUCCAUGGCUGUAGCAAUAAGAGGGAAUAAAGAAAAUGGCACAUCUGAAGUUGUUUCAGCAUUAUGAGGAAGGCCAUUAACAUGAGGAACUGUGAUAGGGAAAAACGUAAUAAGAUUUGGAUGAAGAUUGAGAUGUUGUAACUUGUUGAGUGUGUUUUUAGGGAUGAAGAACGAUAUUUUGUGACCUCUUAUUGCUAAUUUGUUGGAGAAGUGAAGAUAUGGAGUUAAGUGUCCCAUAGCAAACCAUGGAAACAUUGCUAUGUGCAAAGGAGAAGGAGCAUCCAUUACUGCUAUUGAAUGUAAUGAAAUAAACUAUGCCACAAAUAUCAUAUACUUAUACAUAUAAUACAUAUAUAGAUAUAUAAGUGAGAGUUAAUUACGUUCUUUCAUUUUUAAGAUUUGGUGUAUCAUGAAAAAUGUGGACCUGAUGCAUAUAUCCCUAUGAGAAAGACAGAGAAUACUACAAAAUAUUGUGCAACCUAGUUGGUUUCACUAACUUAUUCAAAAAUAAAUAAAAUAGUUAGUUCCAUUCUGUUGGCAAGGAAAGUAAUCACUAAAUAGUACUAAAUUUACUAUCGGUCAGUAGAACUUGGUUUGUAUGUGUAGAACUUACGUAUGUACGGAAAUUUUAGUGGAUAUGCUUUUUUUGUUUAACCAAGUGUUAUAGAAUUGGUACGCAAAUAUUUUUGGUCUGUAUAAUGGUCUUUUUUUUUUUACUCAAUAUAUUGUGUGUAAAACAACUACGUUUUUAGGCUUAAUUGCACUAAUCAAUCCUUAACUAGAAUCCCAAUGUAUGAUUCCUCAUUGUAAUUUCAUUCAGUAAGAUCGAAUCAUUAUCUGCGAUUUUCUUUGUGCACUACCAACAAUUCAAUGGUCGCGAUUUUAUCCUGAAUUCAUCCUCAUACGCUCGUAUUUUUGUUGUUUCACAUUUACUUUCACCGCUAUAUAUUCAAAAUUCGCUUUAGUCUCUUCAUUCUCGGACAAGCCUCAAUACACUCUCAUCUUUCUUACUCCCUCCGUCCCAAAUUGUAUGAUGUUUUGGGCAUUUCAAAUGGAAAAAUUGAAAGAAGAAAGAGUAAUAAAGGAUAUAAUAUGAAAAAUAACAUUAAUGUUUCAUUGGUAUUGUAAAGUAUAAUCUGGGACGGAGGGAGUAUAUCCUUGGAAUCCUUAAAUAUCUUUUAAAUAUUGUGCAUUUAAACAUUCAUUUUUUUUCUCACUAUAUCAUACUUUCAACUUAGUCCCCCCCAAACUUAAUUCCUGACCCGUCCGUAAAUUCAGUCAUAACAAAUAUUCAAAAAAUAAAUAUUAUAAUAACUAAACUCUCUUCAAAUAAAUGACGCAACACACUAAAUUUAUUAUCUUCCUCCCUUGAUCAAAACUUCAUCUCUGAUGUCAGUUGUUGAGAAAUCACGAAGAUAAAACUUUCACACAAGCAGAAGCACAUCAACAAAAGAAGUAAAAAAAAAAAACUCACAAGUUUUCUUUUAAUGAACAUGCAACUUCUACAAGAAUAAAAUUGUAAACCUUGUUAUACAAAAUUGCAAACCUUUCAACUAGAAUUUCAAUUUUCACAAGGAGACAUAACCCCAUAUUUAUUUAAGUUGAACGAUCUAGUAGACUUAAAAUAAAAUAAAAUAAAAAUUGGUCUAAAGUAUGAUCAUUUUAACCAAGUUAAUUCCUUAAAAUUUCUUAACUUUGUUUUCGAUAAAAGAGUUUGAUCAAGUUUGGACCUGAUGUAAGUUAAAGGCUUAAUUGUAGUUUUAGUCCUCUUAUUUUCACCAUUUUACAUAAAUGGUCCCUCUAUUUUAAAAUUCGACAGUUUUGAUCCUCCAUCAUAUUUUUGAACUAUAAAAAUGUGAUGUGAUAAAUUUUAAAUGUUGUGGAAUAUGAUCUGAAGAUAGAAAAAGAUCAACAUCGAUAAAAUUGCGACAAAAUUUUCUUGAAAACUUCAUUUAAAACAUAUCAUAUCACAAUAUUUUAGACAAAAAAUUUGAUAGAAGGACCAAAAUUGUCUAAUUUAUAAUAGGAGGACCAAUUUUGCAAAAUGAUGAAAAGAGGGAGAGCAAAACUGCAUUUAAGCCUAAGUUAAAUUGUAGAUAUCCCUAUUUCAAUCCUACUAUUAAUUGAUAAAACUAGCUAAAAUUAAAAAAAUUGAGAAAUAUAGAGACAAACAUGAAUAAAUUACUAUAUUCUGUCCAAGAAAUGAAUAAUUUACUAUAUGGUGACGAUGAUAGUCAGUAGAAUAUCAAAUGGGUAUUAAUCAAACAUAAAAUAACUAGAAAAAAAUCUUGGGUACAAGAUUUGUUUGAUUAAAAACCUUGAUUAGUAUGACUCAUUUCAUUGUCUUCUAUUACUGUGGCUUUCUCACCAAAAGAAUACAAUGAUACACUAAUUUCCAAAGGCGAUAUAAUUUAUUUUCAUAACUUUUGCAUGUCAGCCAAUUGGUGAAAAAAGAGGUCACUAGGUAGGUGUGGCCCCUAAUUCUGAAACUUUCCUUGUCUUUUUUUGGAUUAAGAGUCAACCAACGUACCAAACCAUGAAUGCGAAAAAAAAAAAAUCAUCCAUUAUACUUACUUACAUGUGUAAUACUAGCAUGUUUUAAGUGGAUUAUAAAUCGGUGACGUUGAUAAGUUUGGUAAAACCGAUGUUAUGUCCCGUGAACUCAGCUCAUUUGAUAAAGGAUAAUGCAUUUAUAGGGGUCAGAGUUUGAAUUCUGGACAUCCGACUUAUUCACCUUUAAAAGUAAAUUUUUCUAGCCGUUAAAUUACUUGACAAAAAAAAAACGGUGUUAUGUAAUUUUCUUGAACCUCUAACAUAGUUUAUACUCCAUUUUCUUAAUAUGUUUAUUUUAAAUGAUAUAUCAUUUUACAAUAUUAAUAAAAAAAAAAAAAAAUUUUAUCAAAUAAUCUAAUGGAUAUAAUUUACAUUUAAAGUAAAUAAAUAAGGUGUUCAGGAUUAAACUUUAAUCCUAACAUAUUAUAACGUAUUGUUCCUACCAAAAUUAUGUCUAUAGGGACAAUGCUUCCUUUUCUUUUAUGCUUUUUAUUAUUUGUUAUUUUUCAAUUUUUCUAUUAUUUUAAUUUUGCUUUUGCAUAUCAUUAAUGAAUUUGUUUAUAUAUAAUAUUUAUUACAUUUCUUGUUUAUCCUUUUAAAAAAGAUUAAUCAUAUUUUUUAAUGUGCGUGAAAUUGUCAAAAUAAUAUAUAAUUUGUACAUUAAGGAGUAUGGUGAUUGUACCAAGCUCAUUAAUGAUCAAAAUGUACACUAAGAAAGAAUAUUGCCCUCACUAUGCAAGUCUUUUGGAUCCAUUAAAUAUUUAGUUUUUCCUAUAGUAUCCUUUAUCUUUAUUUCAAGAGUCUGGUUAACGAGUGUCUCCGGGACAUUAUUUAAAAAUUUAAAAUUUAAAAAAUAUUUCUUAAAAAAGUCAAAUAUUAUAAAUUUUAAUGCAUUGAUUACACAUAUUUUAAUAAAAACUUACAAUUAAUGGUCCUUAAAGAGUGCCCUGGGACACUCGUUAACAUUUUCCUUAUUUUAAUUAUACUCCCUUAGUUCUAAAAUGUAAGGAAAAAAACUCACUUUCUUUGUCCUAAAAUGUAAGCAAAAAAGACAAACAUUUAUACUAUUUAAUCUUGUUUUUUUAAAAAACUAUCUUUUCCAACAAAAUCUUUUGUUUUAUCUCAUUAAAUUAAAUGCAAAUUGUAUUCAAUUUUCUCUCUCUACCAUUUUCUCCUUAAACAAUAUAGCAAAUGAAAAUUGUUUUUACAUCUUCCUAUGAAACUUACUCCAAAAAAACACAAAAAAUUAUACUCCAAAUUCUUAUGUUUUAGUUUUCUUAAUAAGUGUGAAUUGAUUUUUUUUUUCUUACAAUUUGAAACGGAGGGAGUAUGUUUUCUUUUAGCUAUUUUAUUUAUAGUUUUAUCCCUUUUGUAAUAUUUAAAAAAAUCAGUUAAAUUUAUUUCAAUAGGUAUAACCCACAAUAAUAACUAAAAUAUAUUUUGUUGAAUGGACAAUAAGAACAAUAACUGAAACUACAUAUAUAUAUAUAUAUAUAUAUAUAUAUAUAAUCUUAUUUGCUGAAAUUAUUUAGUUGUAUUAUCUGGGGUGAAGCAUAGUGUUGGCAUGGGGUGGCAUUGGCUACCCUAUUAAUUUUUUUGAUAACUUAAGUAUUUUUGUGUUUAGUUACUCUAAUAUAGAUUUAGCUACCUAAGAUAAAUUUAUUUCUUAAAAUUAUUAGUAGAAAUAUAAAAGAUAAUACAUUAUCAUUUGAUUGAUACAUUUAUAUUUUCGUGUUUAGGCAUAUUUAGACGUCAUAGUAAGUACACAAAGAACUUUGUAAACAAAGAAAAAAUGUCAAGAUAAUAUUCGUAAAAUUAUUUUUUUUAGUUUUUUUUUAUAUAUUUGGCCCUUAAAAAAAAAAAUGGCUAACUUUGCCGUUGUGUAUUAUAUGUUAAAAAGAUGAGUCAAGAUUCUCUCCAUUUUGUACCCUCUCUAUUUUUUUAUAUUUGGACAGAUAUAAACUCAAUUUUUUAGUUUUUCAUUAAAGAAGAUCCAAAAUUGUUCAAUAAUAUUUAAUUUUAUGCGAGUUUUAGUUUUUUUUUAUUGGUUUACGAUUUUUAUUUUGACCGGUUUCGAUUUGAACAUCCUACCUAUAAGAUGUUUUGUCAUCUAAAGCUUGAUGAUCGUUUAUUUUUCUAUUUAAAAAAUUGGGUUAAUUGUUGAAAUAGUCCCUCUAAUAUUUGUGAAUUUUAAAAAUAGCCCUCGUAAAAAUAAAUCUUACCUUAUAAUUUGAUGUUUUUUUUUCACACAAGAGGUGCUGAUGUGGCUCAAAUUUACACUCUUGUUGGUCGGUCUAAUCUAUUUGCAUUCAAUUUUAAUUAGCAGACCAAAAUUAUAACAUCUAUAAAAGACAGGCCAAAAUGAAAAAUUUUACUGUAUCAUGACCAAAUUCGGUGGAUUAUCAAACAUGUAUUUUUGUAUUAUUAUUUUUUUACUAAAGAAAAUGAUAUUGAUUCAUUAAAACUGAUAUAAUACAUAGAUAUAAUACAAACUUAAAGUCAUAGAAAAUAGAAAAGAUGAAUAUGUGAAUAAAAUCACAACAUCCAUGUUAAUACUACUCCCUUCAUUGUCAAUUAUAAGAAAAUUUUGACUUUUUAGGUUAAUUCAAUCAAUUAUGUAUGUGGUCUAUAAUAUAGAUUAUAUACAUCAUUAACUGAAUGAACUUAAAAAAUCAAAAUUUGUUUAUAAUUGACAACGGAGGGAGUAUAAAAUAACAAAAUACACAAGCCUACAAUGAUGCCUAUAUUCAAAUUCUUAUAAUACCCGUCCAUCCAUAUAUGUAGCGUUGAAGACGCCAAAGUCGGUGAUUGGAUAUGCACUAAGUCGAAAUUAAUCUUUCAAUAUGAAUUAGAUAAACACCGCGCUAAGGCAGAAAAUAGAAAGAAAAAAAAAAACACAUAAAGACGGAAAAUCAAAACAAACAUCGUCGUGCUAAGACGACGAAAUCAUAAAAACUUGUAAAAAGAAACUAAACAUGUGUGAAUAUCUCAUAUUUAAAUAAAAAGAAAGGAAAAAAUAAGUUGGAAGGAUAAUUUAGGAUCAUAAUUGCCCUAAUCCAUCAUACAUAGAUGAAGUAGAAGGAAAAAGAAAGUGAUAACGACUAAAGUUUGAAGAAGAGAUCAAACACAGUUAAUCUUUUUUUUUUUUUUUUUACAUUUAAGAAAAAUUCAUUAACAAAAGUCAAGACUGCAUAAAUAUAAGGUGGAGUCUCUUUGAUCUAUAUGCAAUCCAAAUUAUGAAGAGCAUGUUUUGCUAAAUAAUGAGUAGUCUGGUUAGCUUCACGCCUAACAUGCAAAAAAUUUAAACUACGAAAACAAACAUUGAAACUAAUACAAUCUCCAAUAAUAGAGCCGACAUAGGUGGAAGAUUGUUGAUGAGCAUUCAGUGCCAAGACCACCUUAGAAGCAUCUGAUUUUGCCUAACAUGUAUUUUGUAAAUUCCAAACCCUUCCGCAUAGUUAAAGCUUCUGCAACUUUAAGAAUCAACAUUAUCUCUCAAUCAAUAUUUCAUAAAACAUACAGAAAAUGGACACCAUAUUUCUAACAUAAACAUUUCUUAUUUCUAACACACCAUAUUUCAUAAAACAGAGCCAAAAUAUGGACUAUAAUAUCCUCGAUAGCAUCAGUAAUAUUUCUCUCCAACCACUCUAAAAAUGGUACAUACCUAAAAUGAUGCUGACAAACACUAUUAAUCAAUAGACAUAAAAUAAACUAGAAAAUCUUGAACCUACGAUUAAUUGAUUAUAAAAUUUGAUCAGUAAGACUUCUUUAAUCGUCUUGUAUCGAUCAGUUUGUUGCUUUCUCACCAAAAGAGAAAACAAUUAUACAAUAAUCUCCACUAAUCAGGCAAGGCGAUAUAAUUAAUUGUCAAGAACUAUUAUAUAUGCUAAUUGGUGAGAAAAGGUGGCCAUUAAUUCUAUAAUAAUAUUCCUUGUCUUUCUUCAAUAGAGAUUAGGCCAACCUGCCUACUUAGAUGAAAUUAUAUUUUUUAAUGCAUCUUAUAAUCACUUACAUAGUGAUUUUGCCAAGCUCAUUAUUGAUCAAAAAAUACAUACACUACAAAAUUUUCAUUGUACAUCAAUUUUUUGUUAUAUAGAGCUAGCAGCAAAAUUUAUAUACACUAGCCUCGGAGAAGAGAGGUAUUACAUAUUCAAAUUAUCUCUUAAAUAUAUCAAAUAUCUAUAUAGCUUUUUACCAUUUGAGUUAUACUUACGGAACAUUAUACAUCAAUUUUUAUUUUGGUAGAACAACCUUACACAUCAAAAUUUCAAAAAUCAUAGAAUAUAAUUGAACUUACACACACACACAUCUACAUAUAUAUAUUUGUAUAGCUUUGUCCCUAGUUCAUUACAUUCUUGUAUCAACCAUGGGAUCUCUUCCUCCUUUGCACAUAGCAAUGUUUCCAUGGUUUGCUAUGGGACACUUCACCCCAUAUCUUCACCUCUCCAACAAAUUAGCAAAAAAAGGUCACAAAAUAUCAUUCUUCAUCCCCAAAAAAACACAAACCAAGUUACAACAUCUCAACCUAAACCCAAAUCUCAUCACUUUUUACCCUCUCAAUGUUCCUCACAUUGAUGGUCUUCCCGAUGGUGCUGAAACAUCUUCAGAUGUACCCUUUUCUUUAGUCCCUCUUAUUGCUACAGCAAUGGAUCAAACAGAAAAACAAAUUGAACAUCUUCUUAAGGAACUAAACCCACAAAUAGUUUUCUUUGAUUUUCAAUAUUGGCUUCCAAAUUUGACUCAAAAACUUGGCAUAAAAAGUCUUCAAUAUUGGAUAACAAGUCCAUUUUCAAUAUCUUAUUUUUGGAAUGGACCAAGACAUAGCCAAGGAAAAGGAUUAACUGUAGAUGAUCUCAAGAAACCACCUUCAGGGUACCCUGAUGGUUCUAUCAAGCUUUAUCAACAUGAACUUCAAUUUCUAUCUUCAACAAGGAAACUUGUCUUCGGAAGUGGUGUAUUUUUAUACGAUCGUUUGCAUAUAGGUACAAGUUUAGCUGAUGCAAUUGGUUUCAAAGGUUGCAAAGAACUUGAUGAACCAUAUGCUGAAUUUCUUGGAAAUUUUUAUGGAAAACCUUAUCUACUUUCAGGUCCUUUGUUACCUGAAACACCAAAAACAACUUUAGAUGAAAAAUGGGAAUCAUGGCUUAAGGGAUUCAAACCUGGUUCUGUGGUGUUUUGUGCAUAUGGAAGUGAAGGUCCAUUAGAAAAAAAUCAGUUUCAAGAGUUGUUGCUUGGUCUUGAGUUAACAGGUUUUCCAUUUCUUGCAGCACUUAAACCACCUAAUGGAUUUGAGUCUAUUGAAGAAGCUUUACCAGAAGGGUUCAAUGAAAGAGUUAAAGGAAAAGGGAUUGUUUAUGGAAGUUGGAUUCAACAACAAUUGAUUCUAGAACACCCUUCUGUUGGAUGUUUCAUAACACACUGUGGAGCUGCUUCUAUAACCGAGGCACUCGUUAACACGUGUCAGUUGGUUUUGUUGCCACGUGUAGGCGUUGAUCAUAUCAUGAAUGCAAGAAUGAUGAGUGAAAAGAUGAAGGUUGGUGUGGAAGUUGAGAAAGGUGAUGAAGAUGGGUUGUUUACAAAAGAAAGUGUGUGUGAAGCUGUGAAAAUUGUGAUGGAUGAUGAGAAUAAAGUUGGAAGAGAAGUGAGAAAAAAUCAUAGUGAAUUAAGGAAGUUUUUAUUGAGUGAGAAUUUAGAGUCUUCGUGUGUUGAUAAUUUUUGUGAAAAGCUUCAAGGUUUGAUUUAAAUUUCUUGAGUUUGAAUAUCACAAAAUUGUUGUUGCUGAAUGAAUCAUUGCACAUAAUUGUACUGUUAUUAUUGUGUUUUAUUAUAACUUUGUGAGUUUGUAUUAUGAACUUUUGACCAAUAAUUUGCAUUACUAAAUUUGUUGGUGAUGGUUUGUGUUUGCUUUGAAGCUUCAAACCAAAUGAUAUUUAAAGAUGAAAUCAUAUGCAGAUUGGUUCUAUUUGAGUGACUCAUUUAAAAAAAAAAUAUCUGAAUCUACUUGAUACAAUUUUAUGUUGUUUAAUUUAGAUCGUGUUUUUUUUUUUACAACGAAUAAUUUGAUAAAUAAUACUCGAAGCACAAGAAAUACUAGAGCGUCAAUGUAACACUAAAAACAGUUGGAUUUUAAGUGUUAGUGAUUAUGUUCCACAUCGAUUAAGAAUAAAGGAAAUGUUGGAUAUAUAAGAGAGGAGACUUAUAUACCUGAUUUUUAAAAGUUUUGGAUAGAGAUGUGGUGUAUGUACUGAUUAUUUAAUGUUUUACGGUAGAUCAUUAUUUUACUUGCUAUAUCGAUUUGUAUAAUUGAGAUCAUUCCCCACAUUGGUUCUUCCGUUGCUAAGAUAAUCAUCGCACAUUUUCAAAUAAAGAGAAAAAAAUAUUAUCGUCGCUGAAAGUUUUUUAUUUUUUGUUAGGGGAUCAUCACCGAAAGUUAGUGGCAUUAAUUUAGACAGGAACUUGAUUAAAAAACAAAGCAAAAAAAUGUAAGCAGUAACCUAACCUCUCAUUUCCUUCCGACCUAAUUCAAAUAUAAAAUUAAAAAGAUUCAUUAAUCUUGUUGUAGAAGUGACUCAAAAUAUGGAUUCUGGAUGUGCCAAAAACGGUGAUAGAUUUUGGCUGUGUUUUCAGCCUUUUCAUUCGGCAAAAAUCGGUGUCCAAUUUUGCGCAGCAAAUAAAAUAAAAUCAUAUUUUAGGUUGAGAUUUGUUCCAAUUUUUUAGGGAUACUUUUACUAUAAAUAUAGACAUUGUAUCAGAUGUAAACCUUGAAUUAGAGAGCCGGAAAAACAGGGUUUAGAAUCCAACAAUAAAAUUUGGGUUUGUAGAGUUUGCUCUUGGUAACAAACACUAGGGUUGAGAUUGAUUCGCAUUGGAAAACACUAUUAUGAUUGAGUCUCUUGAUCACGAGAAGAGAUUGACACUUUGGGUAGAAUUAUGUUUGAAUACUAAUUCUUGUAACCUUUUAAUAUCUCUUUUCUAAAAUUACUCAUCAUUGCAGUGGAACGGAGAGCUGCUCUCUCCCCCUUACUAGGUCAGUAUAUCGAACUGGCUAAACAAAUUUUUUGUAUUCUCUCUUUCUUUCUUUCACUGUUUUCUAUUUUGCUUGUUUUUAUAAUUGUUAUCCACGUUGUUUUGAUUGUUUGAUUAUUUUGCUCCACACAUUAAAUAUUUUAUUGGUGUGAUUUUUAACGAAUUUACCACAAAUCUAAAGGUAAACCAAACUUCCACUCCAACACCUAAACACAUGGUAUCACAUGUAUAGAUAUAGAUAUAUAAGUGAGUUUUUUUUUAAGAGAAGAUAGAUAAGUGAGAGUUAAUUAAGUUAUUUCAUUUUUAAGAUUUGGUGUAUCAUUAAAAAUGUGGACCUGAUGCAUAUCCCUAUGAGAAAGACAGAGAAUACUGCAAAAUAUUGUGCAACCUAGUUGGUUUCACUAACUUAUUCAAAAACAAAUAAAAUAGUUAGUUCCAUUCUGUUGGCAAGGAAAGUAAUCACUAAAUAGUACUAAAUUUACCAUCGGUGAGUAGAACUUACGUAUAUAUGGAAUUUUUUAUUGGAUUAUCCCUUUCUUUUUUUAACUAAGUGCUAGGGAAGUUACCAUGCGAAAAUUUUCACACAAGCGGAAACACAGCAACAGAAGAAGUAAAAUACACAAAAACAAUUCAUGAAUCUUUCUCUGGGUCAUGUUAAAAGGUCCCUGAAGAGUACUAAAAAAGAAAGUUAUUAUUAAAAAAGUUAUUUCUUUUGAUUUUUUAUGGAUUAAUUACACAAUCUUUGAUGCAAUAAUAUAUAAAAAAAAAAUUCCGUAUCCUUAACCAGUGUCUCGAAAGUACCGAUUGACAUUUCCUUUUUUUAUUACUCAUGUGCAAUUUUUACAAGUACAAAAUUGUAAAUUCAUAAAGUUUUUGAUACGGAGCAGAAGGCGGCACCGGUGGAUGGAGGUAGAGGUGCGGCGACGGCGCCGAUGGGAGAGAGAGAGGCAACUGUUAGAUUAUGAGAGAAGGAAGUAAGAGUGCGUAUGCUUUAUUUUUAUUAAAUAAUUGUUUUUUUUUUCAAACCUUUUAAUCACAACCAUUGAUUUUGUUUUUUUCCACAUGUCACACAUCUAUGACUUGAAAUGGGGUAAAUUGAGGAAACCUAAAUGGAGCAAAGAUAGACUCCGUGUGAAGGCGAGAACAAACUCACCCAAGUCAUCGCGAAUCAUAUGCCGAUACCUACACUGUGGAGCUGCUUCAUAACUGAAGGACUUGUUAGCAAGUGCCAGUUGGUGUUCUUGCCACGUGUAAGUUCUGAUCAUAUCAUUAAUGCAAGAAUGAUGAGUAAAAAGUUUAAAGUUGGUGUGGAAGUUGAGAAAGGUGAUGAAGAUGGGUUGUUUACAAAAGAAAAUGUGUGCAAAGCUGUGAAGAUUGUGAUGCAUGAAGGGAAUGAGGUUGGAAGAGAAGUGAGGAAAAAUCAUAAUGAAUUAAGGAAGUUUUUAUUAAGUGACAAUUUAGAGUCCUCUUGUGUUGAUAGUUUCUGUGAAAAGCUUCAAGAUUUGAUUCAUUGAGUGACAGUUAAAGAAGCUUCAAAAGUGAGUUAUUGCAUAUAAUUGUAUUAUUAUUGUUAUUGUGUCUAUAUAUAUUUUUGUAAGUUUGUAUAUAUUAUAUAUGAACUUCUAUUAUUUAGUGAUCCAUAUAUUUAACUUGCUAACCUUCAACUUGUAUCAUUUAAAACAGUGGCGGAUCUUGCCCAAAUUAUCAGGGGAGCCGCAAAUGUUAACUAAAUAUUAUAAUUAAAAUUCAUAAAAGUCAUAUACAAUUUUUUCCAAAAAAAGUAUCAACACGAGGUUAAAGUUCCAAAUUACUAUCUAUCAACUAUAUAGCCUAUCCUAGGCUUAGAUGAUUUGAAUCAGCCUAUUGUGAUUCUUACCACAUGCAGAAUAGAAGAACCCCUCACACGAGACUGCUACAUAUACUCUCUGAUGCAAAAGCUUGGAACCCGACCAAGUCACCAGAGCAGCUAAAUAAUAAGCUUAGACAAAUCAGAAAAUAUUUAAAAUAAAUUCAAUAUAUAUAUAUAUAUAUAUAUAUAUAUAUAUAUAUAUAUAUAUAUAUAUAUAUAUAACAUUUACCUCAAUCUAAAAUUUCACAUUUCACUCUUUCAAAGAUUUGAACUCGUCAAUAAUUGAAUCAGAACUAAAUUGAUUAUCUAUUUCCUUUUCAAAAUAAAGCAUCAUAUUGUCAGCAAGAAAUUCAUCCUACAUCCUAUUACACAAUCUUAUCUUGAUUAACUUCAUUGCUGAAAAUGAUCUUUCUAUAGUAGCUGUAGAAACCAGGAGAGUUAAGAUAAGACGACUUAGACGAUCAACCAAGUAAUCAAUGUUUAUCCGCCCUCCUUGUCUUUCUUAGAGCUUCACACAACAACUUAUUCAAAUCUGGAUGACUAACAACAUCAAGAUGGAAGUGACGAAGUUGAUAUCUCAAAUUAAUUUUCUCUUGCUCACUAAAAUCUAGAGGAUAAAAUUUACUUACAAAGCACAUAUAUUAUCUAUAUCAAAUGCUUUGUGCAUAUCCUUAGGGACCAAACUAUUUCUUAGAAUUAAAAGCUCCGUUGUUUCCAAACAAAACCUACGAUUCAAUUCUUGCAAUUGCUGAUCAAUUGUAACAUAAAAAAGAUUUACUCUAAAAUGUUGACCGGCUGUGAUGUGAUCUUUUUGAUGACGAGCGCUAUCUUCAUGCUCUAUAUAAACAACAUUACAAUCACGAGAAUUAAUAUCAUGUUUUUCACAAAGGGUUUGAGAGACAUGUUUAUUUGUUGUGUUAUGAGUGCAGUUUGUUUGGAAAUCGUGGUUGCAUCACAAAGAGAGAUGGUUCACAAAGAGAGAGGGUUCAAAGUGGGCUUAGGAGGUGGGUGUGAAAGUAGGGGGUUGAUGAUAGAGCAUCAUAUAACAUAUAAGAUGAGAGAUAGAGGAGUUGUUAAUGGUUUGAGGAACAUAUUGUAUUGUUUUCACUCGAGUCGUUGUAACUUACUUUUAUCCUAGAUCAUGCAAUUCCAUAGGUGUUUUGAGUGUUUUGUAGUCAGGAAUCAUAUAAAUAUACAAAUCAAGAUAUCACAUGAAGGAGCAAAUAAAAAAAAUCGCAUGUGUGGGACUGUGUGCCUCUGCGCCUGUGACAUCAUUCCUUGCUGCCUCAGGCUCCCCUGUGCUAUGUGCCUCUACGCCUGGAAGCGGGUAAAAACCGCUUUAUGCUUGUUUUUUAAGUUGGCUCGGUGAAUAAAGCCCACCUUUCUUCUCUCAAUCCCUAAGUAACCUAAUGUUAUAAAUAGAGACCCUUACUGAACUUUUUGCACCGAUCCAGCUUGAAAAACAAGCAAAAUCAGCUUCCAACCCGCAGCUGGGCGCCUAGACGCCUAGAGUCACACACAGGGGUGCCUAAGGCAGCAAGGAAUGUGGUUCCAGGCGCGCAUGGUACAAGUGUAUGGGCGCCUGAGGCAGCUCCUCAGGUGUGACUUAUUGUGUUUUCGUCCCGUUUUUUGAUCGUUGUUUCGUCUGAAAACUUCUAGGAACUUUAAAUAACUAUUUUUCUUUUUCUUGCAACAAGUUACAACAGCAAAAAAAAAAAAUACUAUAUAGUUUUUGGACAACACAUCUUGAAUGUAACAUAGUUUAUAGGUGUGUGAAAAAUGCAAGAUUAAGACAUAAUUCAAUCAACAUGUCUCUGCCAACAAACAUGCAUUUGCAAACAUGUUCAUAACACAUCUCUUCCCGACCAGGUAUCAACCUUAUUAAGUUCUUCAUCUUGUCUACAUCAUUAACAUCAUGACAUUCCUUUUGAAGCUUGAGUUUAAGAAUGUUACCCCAUGCAAAAUCUUGUGCUGAGAAAACCAUCGCGAUGUCCACUUCAUACUUAACAUUCUUAAUAUGGUUGCUAUUGUUAUCCUUUGAAGAAUUAUUAUUUUCCUUUAUCUUCGUCAAUGUUAGAUCUAAAUAACUUAAAUAGUUUCUAGCAAAUAUAGUUUGCACUAUUUUGUUUAGUUCCACAUAAUAAACAUGUAUGUGUUUAUUUUGUUAUGCCUCCAUAUUUAAUCAAGAUAUUCAAAAAUAAUAUAAAAAAUUGCGAGGAAAAUGUUGUGACAGAGGGAUAGAGAACAUAACAUAGAUAUGUGAGAAAAAUAUUGGGAGUUGUCAAUUUAUUUUGGCUGGCACAUGGAAUCAUGAAUUAAAUAUAUGGUAACCAAAAUCGUGGAUUAUCAAAAUGGUUUCAAAAGAAAUAAACUAACUAGAAAAUCUUGGGUCCGGGAUUUGUUUGACUAACAAAUUUUAUCAUAGGGCACAUUUAAUUGUCUUUUAUAAGUAUUUGUAUAGGUGUGUCCCUGGUCCAUUCCAUUCAGUCUCAAAUAAACCAUGGAUGCUCCUCCUCCUUUACACAUAGCAAUGUUUCCAUGGUUUGCUAUGGGACACUUAACUCCAUAUCUUCACCUCUCAAACAAGUUAGCAUUAAGAGGACACAAAAUAUCAUUCUUCAUACCUAAAAACACACUCAACAAGUUACAAUAUCUCAAUCUUUAUCCAAAUCUUAUUACCUUUUUCCCUAUCACAGUUCCUCAUGUUAAUGGUCUUCCUCUUGAUGCUGAAACAACUUCAGAUGUGCCCUUUUCUUUAGUCCCUCUUAUUGCUACAGCCAUGGAUCAAACAGAGAAGGAUAUUGAAAUUCUUCUCAAAGAAAUAAAGCCACAAAUAGUUUUCUUUGACUUCCAAUAUUGGCUUCCAAAGUUGACUAAAAACCUUGACAUCAAAAGUCUGCAAUACAUUAUAUUGACUCCAGUAUCAACAGCUUAUCUCGGAUGUUUACAAAAACUAAGUCUAGGGAAAGAUUUAACUGAUGUUGAUAUCAUGAAACCACCUUCAGGGUUCCCUGAUUCUUGCAUCAAGUUUUAUAAACACGAACUUCGAUUCCUAGCUUCAACAAGGAAAAUUGCAUUUGGAAGUGGUGUUUUCUUAUUUGAUCGUUUGCACAUUGGUACAACCUCUGCAGAUGCAGUUGGUUUCAAAGGUUGCAAUGAAGUUGAUGGACCAUAUGCUGAUUAUAUUGAAACUGUUUUUGGAAAACCUGUUCUGCUUUCAGGUCCUGUGUUACCUGAGCCAACAAAUACAACACUAGAGGAAAAAUGGAUUUCAUGGCUUAAGGGAUUUGAAAAUGGUUCUGUGGUUUUUUGUGCAUAUGGAAGUGAAGGUCCAUUAGAAAAAAAUCAGUUUCUAGAGUUGUUGCUUGGCCUUGAGUUAACAGGUUUUCCAUUUCUUGCAGCACUAAAGCCUCCUAUUGGAUUUGAGUCUAUUGAAGAAGCUUUACCAGAAGGGUUCAAUGAAAGGAUUAAAGGAAAAGGGAUUGUUUAUGGAAGUUGGAUUCAACAACAGUUGAUUCUGGAACACCCUUCCGUUGGAUGUUUCAUAACACAUUGUGGAGCUGCUUCAAUAACCGAGGGACUUGUUAAUACGUGUCAGCUGGUGUUGUUGCCACGUCUUGGUUCCGAUCAUAUCAUGAAUGCAAGAGUGAUGAGUUCAAAAUUUAAGGUUGGUGUGGAAGUUGAGAAAGGUGAUGAAGAUGGGUUGUUUACAAAAGAAAGUGUGUGCAAAGCUGCAAAAAUUGUAAUGGAUGACGAGAAUGAGAUUGGAAGAGAAGUGAGAGCAAAUCAUGCAAAAAUGAGAAACUUCCUCCUCAGCAACAAUUUAGAGUCAUCAUGUGUUGAUAGUUUCUGUCAGAAACUUUAUCAUUUGUUCUAGCAUUUUUAGUUACAAUGAUAAAUGAUUCUUGCUUGUUCAGUUUGUUAUAAAUAAGAAUGAUCUAUGAAUUCCAAUUCAUCACCACUCAUACAUGCCUUGUAUUUUUACGCACUAAAAAAUUAAAUGUAUUGUUAUGAUAGAACUAUUUUUCCCUGAUACUUGGUUUAAGCCUUUCCACUUUUUCUCCCAAAUGUUUUGAAUUCGUUGAUGGAAGUAAAUUUUCAUGUUGGUUUGAUUAUUGUUCACAGUAUCUCAACAGUAUCAUUUUAACCUACUAUAUCAAUAGAAAUAGUCUCCUUGAGAAAUAUUCUUUACAUUCACUUAUUUAAUUAUUCUUUGUACGUUGAUGCUCAAGGUGCACAUAUAUACUCGAUUAUUUGGGCGAUAUGUUACUAAAGAGGACAAUACCGAUUGGUUGAUCUGUAGUAGUAUGUCUUACUUGGCUCAAAAUAGUACAUGAUAGUAUGUCUGUAAGCCAUAAAUUUCAGAAAAUUUUCAUGCCAACAACUGAGCAGUGAAACCAACGAGCUGACAAAGUCGGUAGCAUUCUGAGUCUUCCUCAUAUGCAGAUCCAUCGUGUCCAGCACAAAAUUUUCAUAAUACAUCAAAAUUUGCUCUAGGAUUUUCUGUUCCAGUGAUAAUGAAUCUUUCCAAUUCAGUUUGAUUAUAAAUAAGAAUGGUCUAUCAAUUGUUCGUUCAUGAAAAUGAAAUGUCAGCUAAAUGAUAAGAGUUUGAUCGUUAACCUUAAGGAGCAGAGUUUAAAUCUUAAUGAACAAUUUGGUGAGCCAUCUAUACAUUCCUCUCCAUCUCAUUUUUAAAUCUCAACAGGUAUAUUUUUGCUUCGUCUGCCUUAAUUCAUUUACUUCAAAAUUUCGAAUUCAGAAGCAAUUCCAGUCGUCAUCUUCAGAACUGAGUCUAUUAGACUCAAUAAAAACUUGUGUUUUUAUCAAUGGAAAGUGUGUGUCUAUAUAUAUUACUUUCUUUUCCAAAAUUAGGACACUUAUGUGUCGCAUCAUAACCCAACAAAUUGAUUCACUAGUUAGGAUCAUAUUACAGGUUAUCAAUACACAUAAUAUUUUCUUAUUGAAACCAUAUAAUCAUACAACAAUAUAUAACAGUUUGAUAGAGUUUCUACUAAUUAGAAAAUCACCUGACUAAUUCUUGAAGCUUCUCACAGAAACCAUCAACACAAGAUGACUCCAAAUCUUGGUUUAACAAAAGGUUCCUGAGUUUAUCAUGAUUAUUCCUAACUUCUCUGCCAAUCUCAUUCUCAUCAUCCAUAACAAUUUUCACAGCUUCACAAACACUUUCCUUAGUGAACAAUCCAUCUUCUUCACCCUUCUUCACUUCAACUCCAACCUUCAAUUUCAUACCCAUAAUCUUUGCAUUAAUGAUAUGAUCAGCAUCUAAAUGUGGAAUCAACACCAUCUGACAAUUAUUUGUCAGCCCCUCUGUCAACGAACCGGCCCCACAGUGUGUUACAAAACAACCAACAGAUGAGUGUUCCAAAAUCAAUUGUUGUUGUAUCCAUCCACUAUGAACAAUCCCUUUUUCCUUAACCCUUUCUUCAAACUCUUCUGGAAAAGCAUCUUCGACAGUUUCAAAACCAACAGGAGGUUUAAGAAUUGCCAAAAAUGGAUAACCUGUUAGCUCAAGUCCUAAUAACAAUUCUUGAAACUGUUCUAGUGUUAAUUUGCAUUCACUUCCAAGUGCACAAUAAACUAAUGAACCAUCUUUAAAUCCACCAAGCCAAGAACCCCAUUUUUCAUCUAAAACAGUUUUAGGUGGUUCAGGUAAAACAGGUCCUGAAAGAAGAACAGGCUUACCAAAUUCUUGUUCUAAGUAAUCAACAUAAGGCCCUUCAAUUUGUCUACACCCUUUGAACCCAAUUGCAUCACUUAAGCUCAAACCAUUAAAAAGCCUAUCAUAAAAAAGAACCCCACUUCCAAAUUCAAAAUUUCUUUUUAAAGCAAGAUACUUUGCUUCAUGAGAAUAAAGAGUGAAUGAUGAAUUAGGGUACCCUUUUGGGGGUUUCAUAAGAUCAAAUUCAGUCAAGUUUAUACUUUCACACAUCCUUGAUGGAGAUAGAGUAUAUGAAAUUGUUGCUGGACUAACAAUCCAGUAUUGAAAUGAUUUAAUUCCUAAACUUUGAGCAAUUUUUGGUAUCCAAAAGGCAAAAUCAAAGAAAACCAUUUUAGGAUUUAGUUGAGCGAGAAGAAGUUCAACUUGAGGCUGUGUUUGAUCCAUAGCUGUCAUGAUGAGUGGACCUAAAGAGAAUGAGACAUCUGAAGUGGUUUCAGCACCAAAUGGAAGACCAUGAAUGUGAGGAACAUUGAGAGGGUAAAAAGUGAUGAGAUUUGGAUAAAGGUUGAAUUGUUCUAAUUUGGUUUGUGUUUUCGUGGGAAUGAAGAAAGAGAUUUUGUGUCCCCUUUUGGCUAAUUUGUUUGAGAGAUGAAGAUAUGGAGUUAAGUGUCCCAUUGCAAACCAUGGAAACAUUGCUAU
RNAcentral lists this long non-coding RNA (25181 nucleotides) under Medicago truncatula (barrel medic). RNAcentral describes it as "long non-coding RNA (MTRU_LNC008772)". The record is from RNAcentral. Lineage: Eukaryota; Viridiplantae; Streptophyta; Magnoliopsida; Fabales; Fabaceae.